CACGCCCUAAACGAUGAUCACUCGUUGUUGGCAAUUAUAUCGUCAGCGACUAAGCGAAAGCAUUAAGUGAUCCACCUGGGGAGUACGAUCGCAAGGUUGAAACUCAAAGGAAUUGACGGGGGCCCGCACAAGCGGAGGAGCAUGUGGUUUAAUUCGAUGAUACGCGAGGAACCUUACCUGGGUUAGAACGCAGAACGACGUUUCGGGAAACCGGAAUUCUCUUCGGAGCGAUCUGCGAGGUGC
This 243-nucleotide ribosomal RNA is filed under the name uncultured Bacteroidota bacterium. RNAcentral's name for it is "uncultured Bacteroidetes bacterium partial 16S ribosomal RNA". It matches the Rfam family "Bacterial small subunit ribosomal RNA", at positions 796 to 1041 of the family's 1533-position model. Lineage: Bacteria; Pseudomonadati; Bacteroidota. The record is from RNAcentral.